CCUACGGGAGGCAGCAGUGGGGAAUAUUGCGCAAUGGGCGAAAGCCUGACGCAGCGACGCCGCGUGAGGGAUGAAGGUCUUCUGAUCGUAAACCUCUGUCAGCAGGGGAGAACGGUCACUGUGCUAAUCCGCAGUGAAUUUACGGUACCUGCAAAGCACGCACCGGCUCACUCCGUGCCAGCCGCCGCGGUAAUACGGAGGGUGCAAGCGUUAUCCGGAUUUACUUGGUGGAAGGGUGGCGCAGGCGGCAAUUCAAGCCAGAAGUGAAAGCCCGGGGCCCAACCACGGAACUGUUGUUGAAACUGAAUGGCUGGAGUACAGGAGGGGCAGGCGGAAUGCGUGGUGUAGCGGUGAAAUGCGUAGAUAUUAGGAGGAACACCGGUGGCGAAGGCAGCCUGCUGGGCUGUGACUGACGUUGAGGCACGAAGGCGUGGGGAGCAAACAGGAUUAGAUACCCCUGUAGUC
This 465-nucleotide ribosomal RNA is filed under the name uncultured bacterium. RNAcentral describes it as "partial 16S ribosomal RNA". It matches the Rfam family "Bacterial small subunit ribosomal RNA", at positions 338 to 795 of the family's 1533-position model. The record is from RNAcentral.